AAACUUUCAACAACGGAUCUCUUGGUUCUCGCA
This 33-nucleotide ribosomal RNA is filed under the name uncultured Kluyveromyces. RNAcentral describes it as "partial 5.8S ribosomal RNA". The record is from RNAcentral. Lineage: Eukaryota; Fungi; Ascomycota; Saccharomycetes; Saccharomycetales; Saccharomycetaceae.